Non-coding RNA from Erinaceus europaeus (western European hedgehog), 69 nucleotides. The record is from Rfam. NCBI's taxonomy places the organism in Eukaryota, Metazoa, Chordata, Mammalia, Eulipotyphla, Erinaceidae.
GGUCAAUGUCAUGGCAUGUGUCAGCUGAAUUCAGAAUUGAUGUAAAUUCUGAAGUUACACUGGGAUCUU